RNAcentral lists this ribosomal RNA (301 nucleotides) under uncultured bacterium. Its description in RNAcentral is "partial 16S ribosomal RNA". It matches the Rfam family "Bacterial small subunit ribosomal RNA", at positions 509 to 809 of the family's 1533-position model. The record is from RNAcentral.
CAGCCGCCACGGUAAUACGAGGGGUGCAAGCGUUAUUCGGAUUGAUUGGGUGUAAAGGGUGUGCAGACGGCUUAUUAAGUCACUUGUUAAAUUCUUCGGCCUAACUGAAGGUCUGCAAGUGAUACUGAUGAGCUAGAGGGUGGAAGAGAGAAGUGGAAUUCUCGGAGUAGCGGUAAAAUGCGUAGAUCUCGAGAGGAACACCAAUGGCGAAGGCAGCUUCUUGGUCCAUUCCUGACGUUCAUACACGAAAGCGUGGGGAGCGAACAGGAUUAGAUACCCCAGUAGUCCCUGUCUCUUAUAA